GGGAGUGAAAUAGAACUGAAACCGUAUGCUUACAAGCCGUUGGAGCAAUUUAUUGUGACAGCGUGCCUAUUGAAGAAUGAGCCGGCGAGUUAAUUUAUGUAGCAAGGUUAAGAUAUUAAGUAUUGGAGCCGAAGCGAAAGCGAGUCUGAAUAGGGCGUUUAGUUGCAUGGAUUAGACCCGAAACCGUGUGAGCUACCCAUGACCAGGGUGAAGCGAAAUUAACGUUUCGUGAAGGCCCGAACCCUUGUACGCUGCAAAGUGCUGGGAUGAGUUGUGGGUAGAGGAGAAAUUCCAAACGAACACGGAGAUAGCUGGUUCUCCCCGAAAUGUAUUUAGGUACAGCCUUAGGUAUUAACUGAUGGAGGUAGAGCACUGGAUGAGCUAGCGGGCGCAAGUUUAGCAAACUCAACCAAACUAAGAAUGCCAUCAGCCGAAUCCUAGGAGUGAGACAGUGACGGAUAAGCGCCAUUGUCGAAAGGGAAACAGCCCAGAUCGCAAGCUAAGGUCCCAAAGUUAUAGUUAAGUGGUAAAGGAGGUUGGAUCGCCCAGACAGCUAGUAGGUUGGCUUAGAAGCAGCCAUCCUUUAAAGAGUGCGUAAUAGCUCACUAGUCGAGGGGUUCUGCGCCGAAAAUUAUCGGGGCUAAACUAUACACCGAAGCUGCGGGAUUCUUUAUGAAUCGGUAGGGGAGCGUUCUCAAUGCACUGAAUCUGAAUUGUGAAAUUUGGUGGAGCGUUGAGAAGUGAGAAUGUCGGCAUGAGUAGCGACAAUCUUUGUGAGAAUCAAAGACACCGGAAGUCCGAGGUUUCCUACGCAACGUUGAUCGGCGUAGGGUUAGUCGGUCCUAAGGAGAAGCCGAAAGGUGAAUUCGAUGGACAGCUGGUCAAAAUUCCAGCACCGUAAUUAUCCUGUUAUGCAACGAAGGGACGCGAUAAGGACUGUUAAGCAUGCCUAUGGACAUGGUGUGUGGGGCCUUGUAGGGAAGUGAUUGUGGUUAAAAGAACAGUUACGUUAUUAACUGAGAAGGUUUCAGACCUUAAGGCUUCGGCCUUAGGGAAUUUAACACGAACUAUGUCGCCAAGAAAAGCUUCGUUGAUAGGGAUAUUAUGACCGUACCGAAAACCGACACAGGUGGACAGGGGUAAAAGCCCCAAGGUGAACGAGAAAACCAUCCUCAAGGAACUCGGCAAAUUAACCCCGUAACUUCGGAAUAAGGGGAGCCUAAAAUAUAUAGACUUCGCGUUGAAAGUAUUUUAGGCCGCAGAGAAUUGGUCUGAGCGACUGUUUAUCAAAAACACAGGUCCGUGCUAAAGCGAAAGCUGAUGUAUACGGGCUGACGCCUGCCCAGUGCCGGUAGGUUAAAGUGAAGAGUGAGAGCUUUGAUCUGAAGCCCCGGUGAACGGCGGCCGUAACUAUAACGGUCCUAAGGUAGCGAAAUCCCUUGUCGGGUAAGUUCCGACCUGCACGAAAGGCGUAACGACUUGGACACUGUCUCGAGGGUGGACUCGGUGAAAUUGCAUGACCCGUAAAGAUGCGGGUUACGCGCAGCAGGACAAAAAGACCCCGU
RNAcentral lists this ribosomal RNA (1565 nucleotides) under marine metagenome. RNAcentral's name for it is "bacterial LSU rRNA". It matches the Rfam family "Bacterial large subunit ribosomal RNA", at positions 534 to 2094 of the family's 2925-position model. The record is from RNAcentral.